RNAcentral lists this ribosomal RNA (462 nucleotides) under uncultured bacterium. RNAcentral's name for it is "SSU rRNA". It matches the Rfam family "Bacterial small subunit ribosomal RNA", at positions 26 to 518 of the family's 1533-position model. The record is from RNAcentral.
AGAGCGAACGCUGGCGGCAGGCCUAAUACAUGCAAGUCGAACGGACCCUUCGGGGUUAGUGGCGGACGGGUGAGUAACACGUGGGAACGUGCCCUUUGGUUCGGAACAACUCAGGGAAACUUGAGCUAAUACCGAAUGUGCCCCCAUCCUUAAACAAGAUGGGUGGGAAAGAUUUAUCGCCAUUGGAGCGGCCCGCGUCUGAUUAGCUAGUUGGUGAGGUAAAGGCUCACCAAGGCGACGAUCAGUAGCUGGUCUGAGAGGAUGAUCAGCCACACUGGGACUGAGACACGGCCCAGACUCCUACGGGAGGCAGCAGUUAGGAAUUUUCCGCAAUGGGCGAAAGCCUGACGGAGCAACGCCGCGUGCAGGAUGAAGGCUCUCGGGUCGUAAACUGCUUUUAUAUGUGAAGAUUAUGACGGUAGCAUAUGAAUAAGGAUCGGCUAACUCCGUGCCAGCAGCCGC